GGAUACGAUCAUACCAGCACUAAAGCACCGGAUCCAUCAGAACUCUGAAGUUAAGCAUGCUUGGGCGAGAGUAGAACUAGGAUGGGUGACCUCCUGGGAUGACCUCGUGUUGCAUUCC
Molecule: ribosomal RNA, 118 nt
Filed under: Triticum aestivum (bread wheat)
Lineage: Eukaryota; Viridiplantae; Streptophyta; Magnoliopsida; Poales; Poaceae
Also listed under: 1 other name
Source: RNAcentral